Molecule: long non-coding RNA, 253 nt
Organism: Melospiza melodia melodia
Lineage: Eukaryota; Metazoa; Chordata; Aves; Passeriformes; Passerellidae
Exons: 3
Source: RefSeq, a predicted model, not a curated record
GCAAGAAGAUCCCCUGCUCUUCUCCAGUGACAUUUUUUUCAUUGAGCCAAUGGAGGGAGAAAUUGGGCCCAACUCUUCGGCAAAAAUCAAGGUGACCUUCAAACCCCUGGAAGCAAUGGAGUAUCAAAGUGUGGCUUACUGCAGCAUCUCAGGCCGUGAGAUGAGGCUGCCCCUGCUCCUCAGAGGGCAAGGCCAAGAACCCUUGGUUGAAUUCAGCAUCCCUACACUGAACCUCGGGAAUGUUUUUGUCUAC